Long non-coding RNA from Thalassophryne amazonica, 620 nucleotides. RefSeq lists it as uncharacterized. The record is from RefSeq and is a predicted model, not a curated record. NCBI's taxonomy places the organism in Eukaryota, Metazoa, Chordata, Actinopteri, Batrachoidiformes, Batrachoididae. The transcript has 3 exons.
UAGUCUGUUACUAGCUGAUGGCCACUCGUAGGCUAAAGGCUAGACCUACCAGACCGCAGCUGCCUGGUCUGUUACUAGCUGAUGUCUGCUUGUAGGCAAAAGACUAGACCUACCAGACAGCAGCUGCCUAGUCUGUUACUAGCUGAUGUCUGCUUGCUGUCCUCAGUCCACUUGUUGUCUGUCCUCUGACAGCCAGCUAACGUCUUGCCGAACAUCAAGCCUCUGAAGGCUGUUGUCUUUUGUCCACAGGUUUGUUGACGUUUCAAGGAAAGUGUGAAAGUGAAACAUCCAAAAACAAAGUCAUUAACAUAUUUUCAGCUUCAAACUGUCAUGUAAUUUUUUUUUUCAUGUCAUCGAUUUUCCAUUUGUUCAUAUCUGUUGAUCUUUUCUUCAUAUGAGUUUUAAAUACCAACAUUUGACACAGCAGAAACAACUUCAGGCCUUGUUUUGUUUUUAAGAAAUAAAUGAAUCAAACAUCAUGUAACUGAGACCAAAAUAAUGGACAGCAGUGAAGACAAACUGGUCUUCUGCAAAGCUCUAGUGACACCUAGUGGCCAAGAAGACAAACAGCAGCUUUAUUGUGGGAAAUAAUGAAAAAAAAAAAACCUCUGUUGGAAAAC